Molecule: unclassified non-coding RNA, 318 nt
Filed under: Hevea brasiliensis (rubber tree)
Lineage: Eukaryota; Viridiplantae; Streptophyta; Magnoliopsida; Malpighiales; Euphorbiaceae
Source: RNAcentral
GUUUAAUAUAAAGAUAAUUUGUAUUUAUUUUUAACUUAUACAAAAUAGAAGUUUAAAAAAAUUACAUGUAAAAAAGCACUAAAAAGACUAAAUUGAAUCUAGGCCCAUAACCAUUAACCCAUUUUAAUAAUACACAACCCAUCAAUAAUGCACAACUACCCAACACAUCAAUAAUACAAUACACAACAGCACAGAACAUAAUACACAACCAUGUUGUUCUCGAUAACAGAGGCAAUCAACAGCUAGGUACUUCUUCUUGUCCUUCUUUCAGUAUCUAUCUACAAUGGGUGGGCCUCCUUUCGCUGGCUCUCCUGGAUG